GCCGUCGUAGGCCAUGGUGACCGCCCUCCAAAUAUAUAAGAAGUAUUUUCGAAACCUCAUGAGGGAGGCGGGGGUUCGAUUCCUCCCGACGGCA
Mycena leptocephala is the source of this 94-nucleotide non-coding RNA. Lineage: Eukaryota; Fungi; Basidiomycota; Agaricomycetes; Agaricales; Mycenaceae. The record is from the annotation of a GenBank genome assembly.